AGAGUUUGAUCAUGGCUCAGGACGAACGCUGGCGGCGUGCUUAAUACAUGCAAGUCGAGCGAGGUUAUGUUGUGGACAUCCUUCGGGAGGGAAGCGAUAUGACCUAGCGGCGGACGGGUGAGUAACGCGUGGGCAAUCUGCCCUAAAGCUCGGGAUAACAGUGGGAAACUGCUGCUAAUACCGGAUGACUUUAUCGGGAGGCAUCUUCGGAUAAAGAAAGUGGUCAAUCAUUGAUUGACCAGCGCUUUAGGAUGAGCCCGCGUCCCAUUAGCUAGUUGGUGAGGUAACGGCUCACCAAGGCGACGAUGGGUAGCCGGCCUGAGAGGGUGAACGGCCACACUGGGACUGAGACACGGCCCAGACUCCUACGGGAGGCAGCAGUAGGGAAUAUUGCGCAAUGGAGGGAACUCUGACGCAGCGACGCCGCGUGAGCGAUGAAGGUUUUCGGAUCGUAAAGCUCUGUCCUUGGGGAAGAAGGGUGCGAAGCAUCUUGACGGUACCUAAGGAGGAAGCCCCGGCUAACUACGUGCCAGCAGCCGCGGUAAUACGUAGGGGGCAAGCGUUGUCCGGAAUUAUUGGGCGUAAAGGGUGCGUAGGCGGCCUUUUAAGUCAGAUGUGAAAGACCACGGCUUAACCGUGGGGUUGCAUUUGAAACUGGAGGGCUUGAGUAUCGGAGAGGGUAGUGGAAUUCCCAGUGUAGCGGUGGAAUGCGUAGAUAUUGGGAGGAACACCAGUGGCGAAGGCGACUACCUGGACGAAAACUGACGCUGAGGCACGAAAGCUAGGGGAGCAAACAGGAUUAGAUACCCUGGUAGUCCUAGCCGUAAACGAUGGGUACUAGGUGUAGGAGGUUUCGAUACCUUCUGUGCCGCAGUUAACGCAAUAAGUACCCCGCCUGGGGAGUACGUGCGCAAGCAUGAAACUCAAAUGAAUUGACGG
RNAcentral lists this ribosomal RNA (939 nucleotides) under uncultured bacterium. Its description in RNAcentral is "bacterial SSU rRNA". It matches the Rfam family "Bacterial small subunit ribosomal RNA", at positions 8 to 916 of the family's 1533-position model. The record is from RNAcentral.